This 213-nucleotide small nucleolar RNA is filed under the name Bactrocera tryoni. RNAcentral's name for it is "small nucleolar RNA U3". It matches the Rfam family "Small nucleolar RNA U3". Rfam says of the family: Small nucleolar RNAs (snoRNAs) are involved in the processing and modification of rRNA in the nucleolus. There are two main classes of snoRNAs: the box C/D class, and the box H/ACA class. U3 snoRNA is a member of the box C/D class. Lineage: Eukaryota; Metazoa; Arthropoda; Insecta; Diptera; Tephritidae. The record is from RNAcentral.
AAGACUAUAUUUCACAGAAUCAUUUCUGUAGUCAGUGUUCAUUAAUUUCUUUGCAAAUCGAGUGUAUUAGCAGCCGCGAUGAGGAGGUGUAUCGUUUUAUCUGACAGCGUGAGGUUUAUGAACUUCAUUUCUAAUUUAAUCUUGUGGCAUAUUAGAAAUGAUCUUUCUUCGGUGAUCGCUCGGUUACAACGGAUAAAACGACUUCUGAGUGGU